Molecule: ribosomal RNA, 409 nt
Filed under: Salmonella enterica
Lineage: Bacteria; Pseudomonadati; Pseudomonadota; Gammaproteobacteria; Enterobacterales; Enterobacteriaceae
Also listed under: 1 other name
Description: bacterial SSU rRNA
Rfam family: Bacterial small subunit ribosomal RNA
Source: RNAcentral
AAAUUGAAGAGUUUGAUCAUGGCUCAGAUUGAACGCUGGCGGCAGGCCUAACACAUGCAAGUCGAACGGUAACAGGAAGCAGCUUGCUGCUUUGCUGACGAGUGGCGGACGGGUGAGUAAUGUCUGGGAAACUGCCUGAUGGAGGGGGAUAACUACUGGAAACGGUGGCUAAUACCGCAUAACGUCGCAAGACCAAAGAGGGGGACCUUCGGGCCUCUUGCCAUCAGAUGUGCCCAGAUGGGAUUAGCUUGUUGGUGAGGUAACGGCUCACCAAGGCGACGAUCCCUAGCUGGUCUGAGAGGAUGACCAGCCACACUGGAACUGAGACACGGUCCAGACUCCUACGGGAGGCAGCAGUGGGGAAUAUUGCACAAUGGGCGCAAGCCUGAUGCAGCCAUGCCGCGUGUAU